GCGGAGGGAUCAUUACCGAGUUUACAACUCCCAAACCCCUGUGAACAUACCUAUACGUUGCCUCGGCGGAUCAGCCCGCGCCCCGUAAAACGGGACGGCCCGCCCGAGGACCCCUAAACUCUGUUUUUAGUGGAACUUCUGAGUAAAACAAACAAAUAAAUCAAAACUUUCAACAACGGAUCUCUUGGUUCUGGCAUCGAUGAAGAACGCAGCAAAAUGCGAUAAGUAAUGUGAAUUGCAGAAUUCAGUGAAUCAUCGAAUCUUUGAACGCACAUUGCGCCCGCCAGUAUUCUGGCGGGCAUGCCUGUUCGAGCGUCAUUUCAACCCUCAAGCUCAGCUUGGUGUUGGGACUCGCGGUAACCCGCGUUCCCCAAAUCGAUUGGCGGUCACGUCGAGCUUCCAUAGCGUAGUAAUCAUACACCUCGUUACUGGUAAUCGUCGCGGCCACGCCGUAAAACCCCAACUUCUGAAUGUUGACCUCGGAUCAGGUAGGAAUACCCGCUGAACUUAAGCAUAU
This 517-nucleotide ribosomal RNA is filed under the name Fusarium equiseti. RNAcentral describes it as "eukaryotic LSU rRNA". The stretch from base 165 to 318 matches the Rfam family "5.8S ribosomal RNA". Lineage: Eukaryota; Fungi; Ascomycota; Sordariomycetes; Hypocreales; Nectriaceae. The record is from RNAcentral.